AUUUCUUGCUUAGUUAACAGAAAAUGCUUACAAUUAAGUCUGAACUCAUUUAGUGCUCAGACUAAUUCACAUUAGAAAAAGGAUGUGACCUCGACUCCAGAUCCCUUUUCUAUGGCUCUUGCUUUACUUGAAGGUGUUGUGUUUCAUUUUGGUGGGGUUAGGGAGGCAGCGUGAGAGUCUGUAUUAUAUGACAUAUAUUGGCAGUGAGCAGUGCAGGGAAAAUACAGUGCACUGUUUUGGUGACACUGCCUUUACAGGUCUUCACAGGGUGGUGUCCACAGUUCCUGCACGUUGCUCUCCAGGUGGCCGCGUCUGCUCCAGCCAGCCGCCCCACGCGCUGCCCUGGGCCACAGGCGUCCGCUGCGGAGGCAUCCGGAAAGCAGCUGAGAAGAGUCCCAUGCCUCUCUGCCGCCAGCAUCACAGGUCAUGCGAGCAACACUGGCUGCACACAGGCAAGGCAUUGCAAUGAUACUGAGCCUGCUGGUGAACCAAGGAGCUGGUGACGUGAUGCCACAUGAUGAAGUUUCUCUUUUUUCAAUAUUUCUUUAAUUACCAAUGCAAAUUUAGUUUGUCCUUGAUGCAUACUUUGUGCACUCUUUAAUCACCUGAUUUAAUUUUUGUCCAGCACCCUUGUGCCCAGUAAGCAGGCUGGUCCUGCUCUUGGGACAAGUGAGGCUGGCCAAGGAAGGCGACUGCUGCCCACGGGAGCCUGGCUGUGUUUGAUAUCCAAAAUUAGUGGUUGUAAUUAUUGCAACAUUCAGUUAAGAGCUCUGUCUUAAUGCAUCUGAGCAAAACAAUCAGAGUUAAGAUUGCAAUAACCACCUUAAUUUUAAUAUUUCCUAACUUUGAGUGCUUGGCUGUGAAACAAAAACAUUAUUUUAUGGUAAACUUUGGUGUGAUUUUAAUUAUGCUGUAGUUUGCACAGUUCAAAACGACAGCAUGUUCUAAGGGGCUGUGCAGACUUUUGCCCAGGUGGGCCAAGGAAAGGCAUGCACAGAAUCAUUUUGGCCUCAGCGCUGCUCACUCCAGGACGCUGACCAGAGGCUCGUUGGAAGUGUUGGAAGGGAGCCCGGCGCAAGCCUGAGCAAAGGGGUAUCUAUGGCAGACGAACAAUUGCUCAACACAGCUCUCUUCUGUAAUCAAAGCUGGCUCCCUGCCUUCUUUCAGAAAAGCUUUGAUUGAUCCCUGCAUUUCAGGACCAGGGAGACAUGAAUCAAAUCCAAGGCAGGGUGGUGGACUCUGCUCCAGACAGGUAUUGUGCAUGGCACAGAGAGAGAAGCUGCCACAUGUGUCUCUUGCAGUGGCUCUUCCCAUGAGGAAAUACAAAAGUGCAUGCAUGUAUAUGUGUGCAUGCACACCACCACAGUCUGCAAAACGUCUUGCGAUUCAGAUUCCUUGUUGCUCAACAACUAAUUAAGGCAAACUGCAAAUCUGCAUGACUGUUAAGCAGAGGCCUGUGGAGAGCAGCU
RNAcentral lists this long non-coding RNA (1469 nucleotides) under Struthio camelus australis. RNAcentral's name for it is "lncRNA (ENSSCUG00000009614.1)". The record is from RNAcentral. Lineage: Eukaryota; Metazoa; Chordata; Aves; Struthioniformes; Struthionidae.